GCAUUGAAGGAAAGUGCCUGUGGAACUCCAGGAGACUAGAAUGUCUGAUCUAAGCACCUAGGAAAGAUAUAGGCUGAUAUAGGAAUGCUCUGCUCUGAAAAAGGAGUUAUUCAGGAAUCUGGUGACUUCCCUUUUUGAAUUACCUUUGCAUGUUACUAUGGGGGCUGCCCGUUCAUCCACGUAGCCUCCGAUUCAUGUUCUGCCCCUCAUUUACUAAUUUUAAUUUGCAAAGUACUUUGCAGUGUACGAAGUGCUUUGGGAUGAUCUUAUUUUUCCUCAUGAGAAGUAACGACGACUCUGGCUUGGGCAUGAUGGGAGUUGUGGUCCAAUAGCACUUGAGAAGCCUUGGGUUAAAAAGUGGGGCUGUAGAUUGUGUCUGAAGGAUACUGGCAGGACUUGGAGAGCAGGGAGGAGAUGUGUCAGCUUGAGACUGUAAGGUGUCCUGACCCAUGUGGAGAGAGAUGAAGCCCAUUCUACCAGACUGGACAUCCGCUAUCAUCUUUGGCUGUGGCUCACCAAUCCAAUUCCUUCAUUAAGAGAUCUUUUCCCCUUUAGCUUUGCUUCCUGAAGUCCCUGCAGUAAAAAUGUUUGGGUUCAAGGUCUGGGGCCAGGUAGAGAUAAUUGAAGGAGUGUUGGCAGAGAAAUAUACCACAAAAUGCAUGUCGCAUAGCGGUUGAAUCUCUGUUCAGAAAUUACACACUAUGAGUGUAUAGUCAUUCAUGUGAAAACGUGUGAGUGUACAGAUAUCUGCACACUCAAAUGGCAUAAUGUCUGAAUAGGGCUUGAGUGGGGAAGUUCCCAGUUCAGCCCUUAUCUCCAUCAUGAAUUUGCAAUGUGACUGGGUAUCUUUUAACCUCAGGCCCCCUUCAGCAACAGUACAAUAUGGUACAGUUGCACCCUCCAAACUGAGCAAAGCGGCACCUUACAAAGUGGUACCUUUCAAAGUGGUGAUUCCCUUACCGUAUUUACCUGGAUAGAACAUGACUCUGAAUUUAAAAAACCAGAGGUUAAAUACAGGAUAUAUCUGUAUUUACUCCAAAGAAAGAGGACUCUGAAUUUAAGACACACACACACCCCGAUUUCUCACAUCAAAUAACUUAGAAAAAAACCUAGUCUUGGAUACAGCAAAGUGCUGUAUUUAGUAGGAGAGAGCAGCUAUCUCUAUCCAACCCCAGUAUAACAAUGUCUUAUGUUUCCUUUUUAGCUUGUGAGCCCUUUGGGGACAGGGAACCAUCUUAGUUAUUUUUCUGCGUUGCACUUUGAGAACUUGUUUGCUGAAAAAUGGUAUAUAAAUAUUUGUUAUAAUAAAAGCCCUACUGACCUAC
Long non-coding RNA from Hemicordylus capensis (graceful crag lizard), 1325 nucleotides. RefSeq lists it as uncharacterized. The transcript is spliced from 2 exons. Lineage: Eukaryota; Metazoa; Chordata; Lepidosauria; Squamata; Cordylidae. The record is from RefSeq and is a predicted model, not a curated record.